Molecule: ribosomal RNA, 363 nt
Filed under: uncultured bacterium
Lineage: Bacteria
Description: bacterial SSU rRNA
Rfam family: Bacterial small subunit ribosomal RNA
Source: RNAcentral
GAGGGGUGCAAACGUUAUUCGGAUUUAUUGGGUGUAAAGGGUGUGUAGACGGUUUAUUAAGUUCGUUGUUAAAUCUUUCGGCUCAACCGGAAGCUUGCGGUGAAAACUGAUAGACUAGAGGAUGAAAGAGAGGAGUGGAAUUCUCGGAGUAGCGGUAAAAUGCGUAGAUCUCGAGAGGAACACCGAUGGCGAAAGCAGCUCCUUGGUUCAUUCCUGACGUUGAAACACGAAAGCGUGGGGAGCAAACAGGAUUAGAUACCCUGGUAGUCCACGCCGUAAACGAUGAUCACUGGAUGUUAGUAUUGCUUUGCAAUAUUGGUAUCGAAGCUAACGCGUUAAGUGAUCCACCUGGGAACUACGAUC